AUUGAACGCUGGCGGCAGGCCUAACACAUGCAAGUCGAACGAGUGGCGGACGGGUGAGUACUGUCUGGGAAACUGCCUGAUGGAGGGGGAUAACUACUGGAAACGGUAGCUAAUACCGCAUACCAUCAGAUGUGCCCAGAUGGGAUUAGCUAGUAGGUGGGGUAACGCCUCACCUAGGCGACGAUUCCUAGCUGGUCUGAGAGGAUGACCAGCAAAACCGGAACUGAGACACGGUCCAGCGUCUGACGAGAGGCAGCAGGGGGGACCAGUGCACAAUGGGCGCAAGCUUGAUGCAGCCAUGCCGCGUGUAUGAAGACGGCCUUCGGGUGGUAAAGUACAUUCAGCGGGGCGGCGUUUACCGCAGAAGAAGCACCGGCUAACUCCGUGCCAGCAGCCGCGGUAAUUC
This 406-nucleotide ribosomal RNA is filed under the name uncultured bacterium. Its description in RNAcentral is "partial 16S ribosomal RNA". It matches the Rfam family "Bacterial small subunit ribosomal RNA", at positions 30 to 526 of the family's 1533-position model. The record is from RNAcentral.